This 253-nucleotide ribosomal RNA is filed under the name uncultured bacterium. RNAcentral describes it as "partial 16S ribosomal RNA". It matches the Rfam family "Bacterial small subunit ribosomal RNA", at positions 524 to 776 of the family's 1533-position model. The record is from RNAcentral.
UACGUAGGGGGCAAGCGUUGUCCGGAUUUAUUGGGCGUAAAGAGCGUGUAGGCGGCCAAGCAGGUCCGCUGUGAAAACUCGAGGCUCAACCUCGAGACGUCGGUGGAAACCGUUUGGCUAGAGUCCGGAAGAGGAGAGUGGAAUUCCCGGUGUAGCGGUGAAAUGCGCAGAUAUCGGGAAGAACACCCGUGGCGAAGGCGGCUCUCUGGGACGGUACUGACGCUGAGGAGCGAAAGCGUGGGGAGCGAACAGG